CGCGUAGGUGGUUCAGUAAGAUGGGAGUGAAAUCCCCGGGCUCAACCUGGGAACUGCUUUCAUAACUGCUGGGCUAGAGUACGGUAGAGGGUAGUGGAAUUUCCUGUGUAGCGGUGAAAUGCGUAGAUAUAGGAAGGAACACCAGUGGCGAAGGCGACUACCUGGACUGAUACUGACACUGAGGUGCGAAAGCGUGGGGAGCAAACAG
This 208-nucleotide ribosomal RNA is filed under the name uncultured Pseudomonas sp. RNAcentral describes it as "partial 16S ribosomal RNA". It matches the Rfam family "Bacterial small subunit ribosomal RNA", at positions 568 to 775 of the family's 1533-position model. The record is from RNAcentral. Lineage: Bacteria; Pseudomonadati; Pseudomonadota; Gammaproteobacteria; Pseudomonadales; Pseudomonadaceae.